UGAGGAAUAUUGGUCAAUGGACGCAAGUCUGAACCAGCCAUGCCGCGUGCAGGAUGACGGCUCUAUGAGUUGUAAACUGCUUUUGUACGAGGGUAAACGCAGAUACGUGUAUCUGUCUGAAAGUAUCGUACGAAUAAGGAUCGGCUAACUCCGUGCCAGCAGCCGCGGUAAUACGGAGGAUUCAAGCGUUAUCCGGAUUUAUUGGGUUUAAAGGGUGCGUAGGCGGUUUGAUAAGUUAGAGGUGAAAUUUCGGGGCUCAACCCUGAACGUGCCUCUAAUACUGUUGGACUAGAGAGUAGUUGCGGUAGGCGGAAUGUAUGGUGUAGCGGUGAAAUGCUUAGAGAUCAUACAGAACACCGAUUGCGAAGGCAGCUUACCAAACUAUAUCUGACGUUGAGGCACGAAAGCGUGGGGAGCAAACAGGAUUAGAUACCCUGGUAGUCCACGCAGUAAACGAUGAUAACUCGUUGUCGGCGAUACACAGUCGGUGACUAAGCGAAAGCGAUAAGUUAUCCACCUGGGGAGUACGUUCGCAAGAAUGAAACUCAAAGGAAUUGACGGGGGCCCGCACAAGCGGAGGAACAUGUGGUUUAAUUCGAUGAUACGCGAGGAACCUUACCCGGGCUUGAAAGUUAGCGACGAUUCUUGAAAGAGGAUUUCCCUUCGGGGCGCGAAACUAGGUGCUGCAUGGUUGUCGUCAGCUCGUGCCGUGAGGUGUCGGGUUAAGUCCCAUAACGAGCGCAACCCCUACCGUUAGUUGCCAUCAGGUCAAGCUGGGCACUCUGGCGGGACUGCCGGUGUAAGCCGAGAGGAAGGUGGGGAUGACGUCAAAUCAGCACGGCCCUUACGUCCGGGGCUACACACGUGUUACAAUGGUAGGUACAGAGGGCAGCUACCCAGCGAUGGGAUGCGAAUCUCGAAAGCCUAUCUCAGUUCGGAUUGGAGGCUGAAACCCGCCUCCAUGAAGUUGGAUUCGCUAGUAAUCGCGCAUCAGCCAUGGCGCGGUGAAUACGUUCCC
RNAcentral lists this ribosomal RNA (1018 nucleotides) under uncultured bacterium. RNAcentral's name for it is "bacterial SSU rRNA". It matches the Rfam family "Bacterial small subunit ribosomal RNA", at positions 355 to 1375 of the family's 1533-position model. The record is from RNAcentral.